GACGAACGCUGGCGGUGUGCUUCACACAUGCAAGUCGAACGAGGUAGCAAUACCUAGUGGCGGACGGGUGAGUAACGCGUGGGAAUCUGCCUUUAGAUGGGGGAUAACGGGUCGAAAGACUCGCUAAUACCGCAUAUGACGAAAGUUGAAAGGAGUAAUCCGUCUAAAGAUGAGCCCGCGUCCGAUUAGCUAGUUGGUAGAGUAAAAGCCUACCAAGGCGACGAUCGGUAGCUGGUCUGAGAGGAUGAUCAGCCACAAUGGGACUGAGACACGGCCCAUACUCCUACGGGAGGCAGCAGUGGGGAAUUUUACGCAAUGGGCGAAAGCCUGACGUAGCGACACCGCGUGAGCGAAGAGGCCUUAGGGUGUAAAGCUCUUUCAGUGGGGAAGAUAAUGACUGUACCCACAGAAGAAG
RNAcentral lists this ribosomal RNA (415 nucleotides) under uncultured bacterium. Its description in RNAcentral is "bacterial SSU rRNA". It matches the Rfam family "Bacterial small subunit ribosomal RNA", at positions 28 to 490 of the family's 1533-position model. The record is from RNAcentral.